UACGUAGGGGGCAAGCGUUGUCCGGAAUCAUUGGGCGUAAAGCGCGUGUAGGCGGCUCGAUAAGUCUGCUGUGAAAGUCCAGGGCUCAACCCUGGGAUGCCGGUGGAUACUGUCGGGCUAGAGUGCGGAAGAGGCGAGUGGAAUUCCUGGUGUAGCGGUGAAAUGCGCAGAUAUCAGGAGGAACACCGAUUGCGAAGGCAGCUCGCUGGGACGUCACUGACGCUGAGACGCGAAAGCGUGGGGAGCAAACAGG
Molecule: ribosomal RNA, 253 nt
Filed under: uncultured bacterium
Lineage: Bacteria
Description: partial 16S ribosomal RNA
Rfam family: Bacterial small subunit ribosomal RNA
Source: RNAcentral